GUUUUGAACGUUGGACGUGGUGGCUAGUAGGCUCCGCCCACUUUUACUGAGGCAUCUGAUUGAAAUUUAUGGGAUUCUGUCCUCUUGGACCUUCAGGAGGGCGGGGUCACCCAGUCCAGUUCUUGUAUCCAGUACAUGUUGAAGAAACGUGUCCCAUCCCAGGACCGCCAGGAUGAGUCCUCCUCGUGCUACCAGACUUUGACUGGAUCCUGUGAAGUUUUCUCCAUGUGUGGAUGAUGGAUCUGACUGAGUUUUUCUGGAGUCUUAAGUUUCGU
Oryzias melastigma (Indian medaka) is the source of this 275-nucleotide long non-coding RNA. RefSeq lists it as uncharacterized. NCBI's taxonomy places the organism in Eukaryota, Metazoa, Chordata, Actinopteri, Beloniformes, Adrianichthyidae. The record is from RefSeq and is a predicted model, not a curated record. The transcript is spliced from 3 exons.